GGCGCGGUGCCCAAGUGGUUAAGGGAGCGGUUUGCAAAACCGUCAUGCGUGGGUUCGACUCCCACCCGCGCCUCAA
This 76-nucleotide transfer RNA is filed under the name Deltaproteobacteria bacterium CG11_big_fil_rev_8_21_14_0_20_47_16. RNAcentral describes it as "tRNA-Cys". It matches the Rfam family "tRNA". From Rfam's summary of the family: Transfer RNA (tRNA) molecules are approximately 80 nucleotides in length. Their secondary structure includes four short double-helical elements and three loops (D, anti-codon, and T loops). The record is from RNAcentral. Lineage: Bacteria; Deltaproteobacteria.